Non-coding RNA from Camellia sinensis, 271 nucleotides. The record is from RefSeq and is a predicted model, not a curated record. Lineage: Eukaryota; Viridiplantae; Streptophyta; Magnoliopsida; Ericales; Theaceae.
UAUCUUGCUUUAUUUUAUACAGAGUGUUUGAUGAACAUUUAUGAAACUGUUGUAUAUGUACACCUGUAGGAGGUCUCAACUGGUGUCUCAAAGCUUACAAGAGAAUCAUCUGGUCAAUACAGUGACUUCAGCAUCCUCUCUUCCUUGAAUUCUCAGCUGUUUGAGAGCUCAGCAUUGAUGAACAUAUCUGCAGUUAAAUCACUUCUUUCUGCACUAUGUCAGUUGUCACAUCAAUGUGUGACAGAAACUGUAAGUGGUUUUGGACAAGUAU